GACGAACGCUGGCGGCGUGCUUAACACAUGCAAGUCGAACGGAAAGGCCUCUUUCGGGGGGUACUCGAGUGGCGAACGGGUGAGUAACACGUGAGUAACCUGCCCUUGACUUUGGGAUAACUUCAGGAAACUGGGGCUAAUACCUGAUAGAAGCUCCUGCUGCAUGGAUGGUGUUGGAUAGUUUCGGCGGUUGGGGAUGGACUCGCGGCUUAUCGGCUUGUUCGUGGGGGAGUGGCUUACCAAGGGUUUGACGGGUAGCCGGCCUGGGAGGGUGGCCGGCCACAAUGGGACUGAGGGACGGCGCAGACGCCAACGGGACGCAGCGGGGGGGAGUAUGGCGCAACGGGUGGGAGCCUGAUGCAGCGACGCCGUGGGCGGGAUGACGGGCUUCGGGUUGUGAACCGGUUUCGCUCAUGGCGAGGCUUUGUGUGACGGUAGUGGGUAAAGAAGCACCGGCUAACUACGUG
Molecule: ribosomal RNA, 467 nt
Filed under: uncultured bacterium
Lineage: Bacteria
Description: partial 16S ribosomal RNA
Rfam family: Bacterial small subunit ribosomal RNA
Source: RNAcentral